This 471-nucleotide ribosomal RNA is filed under the name uncultured Bacillota bacterium. RNAcentral describes it as "bacterial SSU rRNA". It matches the Rfam family "Bacterial small subunit ribosomal RNA", at positions 355 to 818 of the family's 1533-position model. Lineage: Bacteria; Bacillati; Bacillota. The record is from RNAcentral.
UAGGGAAUCUUCGGCAAUGGGCGAAAGCCUGACCGAGCAACGCCGCGUGAGCGAUGAAGGCCUUCGGGUCGUAAAGCUCUGUUGUUAGAGAAGAACAAGUACGAGAGUAACUGCUCGUACCUUGACGGUACCUAACCAGAAAGCCACGGCUAACUACGUGCCAGCAGCCGCGGUAAUACGUAGGUGGCAAGCGUUAUCCGGAAUUAUUGGGCGUAAAGCGCGCGCAGGCGGUCUCUUAAGUCUGAUGUGAAAGCCCACGGCUCAACCGUGGAGGGUCAUUGGAAACUGGGAGACUUGAGUGCAGGAGAGAAAAGUGGAAUUCCACGUGUAGCGGUGAAAUGCGUAGAGAUGUGGAGGAACACCAGUGGCGAAGGCGGCUUUUUGGCCUGUAACUGACGCUGAGGCGCGAAAGCGUGGGGAGCAAACAGGAUUAGAUACCCUGGUAGUCCACGCCGUAAACGUUGGGCACUA